RNAcentral lists this ribosomal RNA (480 nucleotides) under uncultured bacterium. RNAcentral describes it as "partial 16S ribosomal RNA". It matches the Rfam family "Bacterial small subunit ribosomal RNA", at positions 29 to 507 of the family's 1533-position model. The record is from RNAcentral.
AUGAACGCUGGCGGCGUGCUUAACACAUGCAAGUCGAACGAAACACCUUAUUUGAUUUUCUUCGGAACUGAAGAUUUGGUGAUUGAGUGGCGGACGGGUGAGUAACGCGUGGGUAACCUGCCCUGUACAGGGGGAUAACAGUCAGAAAUGACUGCUAAUACCGCAUAAGACCACAGCACCGCAUGGUGCAGGGGUAAAAACUCCGGUGGUACAGGAUGGACCCGCGUCUGAUUAGCUGGUUGGUGAGGUAACGGCUCACCAAGGCGACGAUCAGUAGCCGGCUUGAGAGAGUGAACGGCCACAUUGGGACUGAGACACGGCCCAAACUCCUACGGGAGGCAGCAGUGGGGAAUAUUGCACAAUGGGGGAAACCCUGAUGCAGCGACGCCGCGUGAGUGAAGAAGUAUUUCGGUAUGUAAAGCUCCAUCAGCAGGGAAGAAAAUGACGGUACCUGACUAAGAAGCCCCGGCUAACUACGUG